AGCGAACGCUGGCGGCAGGCUUAACACAUGCAAGUCGAGCGGGCACUUCGGUGUCAGCGGCAGACGGGUGAGUAACACGUGGGAACGUACCCUUCGGUUCGGAAUAACGCUGGGAAACUAGCGCUAAUACCGGAUACGCCCUUUUGGGGAAAGGUUUACUGCCGAAGAAUCGGCCCGCGUCUGAUUAGCUAGUUGGUGGGGUAAUGGCCUACCAAGGCGACGAUCAGUAGCUGGUCUGAGAGGAUGAUCAGCCACACUGGGACUGAGACACGGCCCAGACUCCUACGGGAGGCAGCAGUGGGGAAUAUUGGACAAUGGGCGCAAGCCUGAUCCAGCCAUGCCGCGUGAGUGAUGAAGGCCUUAGGGUUGUAAAGCUCUUUUGUCCGGGACGAUAAUGACGGUACCGGAAGAAUAAGCCCCGGCUAACUUCGUG
RNAcentral lists this ribosomal RNA (433 nucleotides) under uncultured bacterium. RNAcentral describes it as "partial 16S ribosomal RNA". It matches the Rfam family "Bacterial small subunit ribosomal RNA", at positions 29 to 507 of the family's 1533-position model. The record is from RNAcentral.